GUUAGGAAUCUUCCACAAUGGGGGCAACCCUGAUGGAGCAACACCGCGUGCUGGAUGAAGGCCUUCGGGUCGUAAACAGCUUUUGUAUACGAAGAAUAUGACGGUAAUAUACGAAUAAGGGUCGGCUAACUACGUGCCAGCAGCCGCGGUCAUACGUAGGACCCAAGCGUUAUCCGGAGUGACUGGGCGUAAAGAGUUGCGUAGGCGGCUUAUUAAGCGAGUAGUGAAAUCUGGUGGCUCAACCAUCAACACAUUGCUCGAACUGAUAGGCUUGAGAAUGGUAGAGGUAGUUGGAAUUUCUUGUGUAGGAGUGAAAUCCGUAGAUAUAAGAAGGAACACCGAUGGCGAAAGCAGUCUUCUGGCCCAAUACUGACACUGAGGUACGAAAGCUAGGGUAGCAAACAGGAUUAGAUACCCGUGUAGUCC
Molecule: ribosomal RNA, 426 nt
Filed under: uncultured bacterium
Lineage: Bacteria
Description: partial 16S ribosomal RNA
Rfam family: Bacterial small subunit ribosomal RNA
Source: RNAcentral